GCCCGCCUAGCUCAAUCGGAUAGAGCGUCAGACUUUUACGGACUGACGGCGGGUUCAUCCUCAUGUCGCCUAAUAGGCAUCUGAAGGCUGCGAGUUCGACCCUCGCGGUGGGCU
RNAcentral lists this transfer RNA (114 nucleotides) under Athelia sp. TMB. It matches the Rfam family "tRNA". Rfam says of the family: Transfer RNA (tRNA) molecules are approximately 80 nucleotides in length. Their secondary structure includes four short double-helical elements and three loops (D, anti-codon, and T loops). Further hydrogen bonds mediate the characteristic L-shaped molecular structure. tRNAs have two regions of fundamental functional importance: the anti-codon, which is responsible for specific mRNA codon recognition, and the 3' end, to which the tRNAs corresponding amino acid is attached (by aminoacyl-tRNA synthetases). tRNAs cope with the degeneracy of the genetic code in two manners: having more than one tRNA (with a specific anti-codon) for a particular amino acid; and 'wobble' base-pairing, i.e. permitting non-standard base-pairing at the 3rd anti-codon position. Lineage: Eukaryota; Fungi; Basidiomycota; Agaricomycetes; Atheliales; Atheliaceae. The record is from Rfam by way of RNAcentral.